Non-coding RNA from Delphinapterus leucas (beluga whale), 7412 nucleotides. NCBI's taxonomy places the organism in Eukaryota, Metazoa, Chordata, Mammalia, Artiodactyla, Monodontidae. The record is from RefSeq and is a predicted model, not a curated record.
AGUAAAAUAUGUAAUAAAUUAUAUAAUGUUAAGUGCUAAGGGAAAAAAAAUAAAGCAGAGAAAGGGUAUAGGAAAUCUGAGAAAGGAAUGGAAUUUUAAAUUGAGUGGCCAAGAAAGGCCUCAGUGAGAAGUGACAUUUGGAUUAAUUCCUGAGAAGUGGAGGAGCUAGUUCUGUGGGCUUAAGGCCAGGGUGGGUGCUGGGGGUGGGGGAGCAUGCCAGGCAGGGGAGGUCCCAAAUUGCAUUGGUCAUGAGGUGAAACAGUGCUUGGCAUAGCUGACGAAUAUCUAGGAGGCCAGCGUGUCUGGAGGAGACCAAGGAGGAGAGCAGUGGGAGAUGAGCCCAAAGAGAUGGCAGUAGGCUAGGUCCUAAAGGACCUCAUAGGUAAGAAAGGAAGCCAUUGAAGUGUUUUUCACAGAGAACUGACAUUAUCUGACUUUUUAGCAGGAUCAUGCUGGCCACUGAGUUUUGAGAGUAAAGUGAAGAGGGCAAGAGUGGAAACAUGGGGUUCAUUUAGGAGGCUACAGUUAUAAUCCAGACAAAAGCUUGUGGUGGCUUGAGCCAGACAAGUGGCAGUGGUGAUAGUGAGAAGUGGCUGGAUCCUGGAUAUAUUCUGAAAAUAGUGUUCACAAGAUUUUCUGACACACUAGGAUGUGGGGUUAUGCACUAUCUGUGACUGUCAAAUUUCCAUCAUAUGCUCCUAAUUGGUGAAAAAGAUACAAAUUCUCACUUGUUCUAUCAUUUUUAGAGUAUGAUGUUCCCUGACAUAACUUCAACUUUCCUUUUGUUCCUGAGUUUGAAAACACAUCCCACAAUUAUUUCUAUGUCCUAUCUCAACCUUGAGGAAAGAUAAAGAGAAAAUGUGGCUUUGAAAAUUGAUAGUGCCAAUGCUAUCUUAUGAGUUUCUCAACUGUAAGCUCCAGCCUUAUUUCAUUUCCCUUGUUGGUGUUCUCAAGGCCUGUCUCAGAACCUUGCACCCGUUAGGCUCUCAGAAAAUGUUCGUUAAAUGGUAUAGUCUCCACAUUUCCCACCCAAUAAUGAACAAAAACAACAGUCAGCCCCUGUCAACUGCACAAUCAUAAAUUAAAGUUUGUAUUUUAGUAUUUAGUAUAUUAUGCCAGGGUACUCAUUGGGUAAAUGUAGUUGAGCUUCCAGCACCUUCAUUACUACCACCUGCAAUCUGAAGUUGUGUUAGCUUUUUUGCACCUGGAAAGGUAACAAAAAGGCGGAGGAGACUGGUUUUGUAAUUCGCAUCUGGGACAGAGUGUCACGCCACCUGUCUCUUGUAAAAUCUACUGAGGAGUUAACGCCCCCUUGAACAGCGCACAAAUGUGCACAAAUGGGGAUGAUCAGUCAAAAUGCGUCUAUACGAAAGGCUGGAGACCCGAGCCUCUCCCAGGGCCCCGCCCACAAGCUCCCGAGGCACGGGCCUGCGCUGUGCACUCCGGGAGUUGUAGUUCCUCCUCUCUUCAUGCGAGCCAGGACGCAGUAUCUCUGGCGCCUCCAACGGCGCGCAGGCUCCGUGAAGCGCGGCGCACGCGGACGGCACGCGUUUCCUAGCAACGGGGGAGCGGCAACGUCACGCCGGCGGGCGCUAAGAGCAGCUGCCCAGUAUUGGGCGGCUUUGAGUACCUUUCAGCACCUGCGGGUUGGAGGGAACGCUGCUUGCAGCUUUCUGUCGGCACGUCUCCGUCCGUCCUUACCCGCGUUAUCCUAAACCCGGUCGCCGAGAGCAACCUUCCUCCGCGACCCCGCGUCUGAGGCACUGCCGGAGGCUAGAGGCGGCCCGCCGGGUUCCUGUGUGGCCCUCGCCCCCAGCGCCCGCGGAGCCCGCCGCCCGCGGCCUCAGCGGGACGAUGCUGGAGUCCAUUCGCGUGACGGAAAAGCUUCACUGGCCUGAGCAAGAACUUGCUAAGAAGUCUAUUCUAAAUGCAGAAGAGUCCUUGAUUAUUGGCAGCAAAGGAAGCAUUUCACAUUUAUCUCCUGGAAUACUAAAGGACAUUUUCACAACUGGAACCAGUAGUUACAAUGUCCUACUACAGAGCAAAGAGGAGAAAAAGCAUCAUUCACAAAAACAGUCUUCCUCCACCUACUCCAAAAGAUGUAGAAAACCCAGCAAAUCUAGCUCUUCACGUAGUAAAGAUCUUCGCAAGAUGAAAGCCCCAGUGCCUGUGAUGAGCAGUGAUACUUGGUACUGCCUAGAAAGGCAGCCUGCUGUUUUUGUCACUAGUUCAGUGUCAAGUCCUGUAAAGUUUACACAUGAUAUCUCUGUUACAGGAAACAGCACAGUACUGCCACCUAAACCCAAAAAUGAAAGAAAGGUCAAGCGACGCCAUUUCUCCACUCUUCCAAAGCCAAAGCCGCAGCCUCAGCUGUCUAGAAGUUUUGAAAAAGGAGAUGACUUUUCUGGAAAGAAAUUUUGUAUACUGAGUGCUAUAAAGCCCACCAACUUGGAGAAAGAAAAAGUGAGAUUCUUUAAGUCUGACUAUACCUACAAUCCUCAGUUUGAAUAUGCUAAUCCUUCUCUGCCAAGUGUGUUAGCCAAGCACAGCAACGCAACUGACCGGUUCCUUAAGCAGUCCAUCAAUAUUAUGGAACUGACUUUACAAAAGUAUGGAAGCUAUGAAAAAUUUGAACAGGCCACCGGUGGUAGCCUGCUAUCUAAAACUCGAAUCUGGAGUCAUGUUAGGAAAUACAUGAUGAAAGAAGGCUGCAUGGGUGAGAUUGUAGUUCACCUCACUGAGGACCUGCUUUCCCGAGCUUCGAUGACAGUAGUAAAUGGAUGUCCAACACUGACCAUCAAUGUUUGCACCGCACGUGAGCAUUGGCUGGAAGGAAUGCUGAGGCAUGAAAUAGGCACACAUUAUUUUCGAGGUAUUAACAACCUUCAGCAGCCAUGGAACAGUUGGACUGGCCGUAAAAAACAUGACCUAAAGCCAAACAAUCCCACAGAGGAAGGACUGGCAAGUAUUCACAGUGUCCUGUUUAGAAAAGACCCCUUUUUAUGGAGGGCUGCCCUCCUCUACUACACUGUUUAUCGAGCCAGCCACAUGUCUUUUUGUGCAUUAUUCAAAGACAUUGGAAAGUUUGUCAAGGACCCCAAUACAAGAUGGGAUUAUUGUGUACGAGCCAAGAGGGGAUGGACUGAUACCUCCCAACCAGGGUGUUUCAGUAAAGACCAGGUAUACUUGGAUGGUAUCCUGCAAAUCCUCCGAUAUAGAGAGACCAUUGACUUUCACCUACUUACGGCCCUGGGGAAGGUCUCUUAUGAAGAUGUGGAUCGCUUAAAAGGAUUGGCAGUUACUGAAAACAUGAGGGUCCCUCACUUUCUGCAGGACCAUGGCCGAUAUAUGGAACACUUAGAGAAGAUCAUGGAAGUGAAUGAACUGACUGACAGGGAACUGAAAGAUCUUAUAUAUUAAUUAGCAUUCUUGCAAACAUAGCUAAGUUAUACCUCCAUGUAUAUUACCAGUUAGGUGCAGUUAGCACCAGCAGAUUUAUAAAAGAAGAAUGACUGUUUACAUGAGUUUUCUGAAGAAUGGUCUGCAGUAUUCAGCUGAAUAUUUAGGUUAAGAACAAACUUUAAACUGUUUCCCUAAAAUGUUUCUAUAGGCUACAGGGGAAAGUUACUCCUGUUUUCAGCUGAAUCUCAACAGUCAGAUGAAAAUACUGCUGAUGGGUGUUUUUUAGGAAUCUUGGUCAAAUUGAGUGAUAAACUUCUGCCUGAGAACCAAGACCAGCUCUUACUAGAGAUGGAAUUCCUGUGUUGUUCAAACUUCAAGAACCAACUGAGGAGCAGAAUCUGUGCUGAGUGUCAGAGGUCCUCUGAUGAAGACAAGAAAUGUUCCACAGUCCAGUGAGGAAGAGUGGCACACACCCAGGUUACAGCACUGCCAGUACCAUACCCAAAAAGUGUUACCAAAAGAAUGUAAACCAUAAUAAAUGGGCCUGUUCAUGUGUUUGAAGCACAGAGACAAAGAUCACUUGCAAAGUAGUGAGUAUUUACAGUAUUUUAUUACCACUCUUUGCGAGGCUUGUUUGGAACCUGAGCAACUUUAGCCUAGGGGAAGGAGUAGACCAAGAAUACAGUUGCUUGGGUCAUCACAGGCCCUGAGGAGAUCCUUUGAGCCCUUCAGCAGAUGCCCAAGGGAGUCAGCACUUUAAGUGUCUUGGUCUUUGAAUUCAAACCUUUAUGGCACUUGUGAAAGCCUUGUCAGCUGGCUAUGAUUUCAUUCAUUUUUGUUCACUCUGAUUCUAGUGGCUAAAGGAAUUAAUAUCUUGAAACUGCCAGGAUGAGAAAUACCAGUGUGUGUUAGCUAGCUUUAAGAAUAUGUGGAAUUUCAAGUAUGCAGAGGGAAAAGCACAUGAAGAGGAAGCAAGAGGGCAGCCAUCUGCAAGCCAAGGAGAGAGGCCCCGAACAGAUCCUUCCCUUAUGGUUCUCAGGAAAAAUCAAGCUUUCCAACACCUUGAUCUUGAACUUCUAGCCUUCAGAACUGAAAAGAAUUGUACCUAAAGAAAGAGGACGAAGCAAAGAGCAGAUAUCUGACCACUAAGAGAUUACUGAGCAUUCAUUUCUUCCCAGCUAUCCAGUUAUCCUAACAAAAGAUGACCAGCUUCAGAAGUGACAUCAGCAUGGCUGAAAAAGCUUCCCCUCAUUUGUGUCCUCCACCCACAGCAAUUUGGUAUCCAUAUACAGACAGAAAUGACCUGGUGGGAGCUUGGGGAUCCAACACCAAGCAACUUUGUAGGAAUCACCAGGCAACCUGGUAGGAAUCUUUCCUGCCCAUGCAUUGGCUUAUAGGCAUACAGACCUAGGUCCUGGCCUGGACCCUGCAGUGGCCUGCGAACCAGCUCCAGGCCCUCUCGGCUGCAGUGUGGAAACCCUUGGAAAGUACUAUCUUAGACAGUCACCCACAGACAAGAGCACCUUUGUGAAAGUCUGGGUUUCCAGUGGAGAAUUUUCAGCACAUUUUUGGAGCAAUAAAUGAGUUUAGAUGCUUUGAAGAGGAACAGUUUGAUUUUAUCCUCAUUAUCCUUCCCUCAAGGUGGCACAGUUCAGGGCCAAGAGAGACCUUCUCAGCCCAUGAUUUCUCCUGGAGGGGAAAAUGCAAGUGACUGAGUACCCAGCUUCUCCAACUAUGUGGGAAGCCACCAAAGGGGCCCAUUUCUCUCUUGCCUCAUCCAGACUACUGAAUCUUGAGCUGCAUGAUGAGGGGGUGGGAAGGUGCUAGGAGAAUAGCAGAUAGGACUCUUGGAGGGCAUUAAAGAGUCACAGAGCCUACUAACUCACAGUCCCAUCAAGAAGCUAGCCCACAUGGCACUGGGGACACCUUACCUGUGGGUCUCCCUGACCAGCCCAUGGGAACCAGUAGUGCUCCAUGUGCCUCACCCACACACACCCCCAACUCUGUGGCUUCCUGUCUCACCCCUGAUAGCAUCAAGAGCAAGCUUUGGCAGAUGGCUAGUGAACAUGCAAAAAAAGCCCAACUGAAUCUGCAGGCCCAAGGGAGACCACAGAUGUGAGCUUUAGCCCCACACUUGGGAAAGCAGAAGGGAGGUUGUCAGCACCUAACCUUUUGCAUUGCAGACUCAAGAGAAGAUAUACAAGCUUAAGGAUUCUGCCAUAAGAGGCCAAGAAGUGUGGAGCAGGCUUACCCAUAGCUGAUCUGAGGAAGCCUCAGAAUCUCUAGCAGGGAUGACUGAAGUUAGUUCUCUGCUGAAGCAGUUAGUAAAGACUAGAGGAAGCAACUGCUACUUCAGAUACAAAGACAACAAAGCAAAACUUAAGAACAUGACACUACCAAAGGAUUAUGAUAAUCCAGUAAUUGAUUCCAAAGACAUGGAGAUCUGUGAUUUACCUGAUAAAGAAUGAAAAAUAACUGUUUAAGGAAGCUCAGUGAGCUACAAGAAUAGACAAUUUGAUGAAAUCAAGAAAAUACUUGAAUAAAAUGAGCAGUUUAACAAAGAAAAAUCAUAAAGGACCAAACAGAAAUUCUGAAGUAGAAAAAUACAGUGAAUGAAAUGAAAAAUAUAGUAGCAUCAAUAUCAGAAUGUGUCAGUCAGAAGAAAGAAUCUCUGAGGUAGAAGAUGGGAGCUUUGUGAUUAUUCAGUCAGAGGAAAACAAAGAAUGAAAAAGGAUAAUGAAAGCCUACGUGAUCUAUGGGAUACAAUCAAAAGAAACAACUUGCAAAUUAUUAGAGUUUCAGAGGGAGAAGGGGGCAGACAGCUUAUUAAAGAAAUAAUGGCUGAGAACUUCCCAAAUCUGAGGGAAAAUUUGGAUAUCCAAAUUCAUAAGGUCACCAAACUCAAAGAGACCCUCUUCAAGACAUGCUAUAAUAAAACUAUAAAAGACAAAGAAUCUUAAAAGCAGCAAGAGAAAAGAAGCUUGUAACUUAAAAGGGACCCUCCAUACUAUUAGCAGAUUUCUCAGUGAAAACCUUACAGGCCAGGAGACAGUGGGGUGAUAUAUUCAAAGUGCUGAGAGAAAACUGCCAACCAAGAAUACUCUGGCAAAGUUUUCCAUCAGAAAUGAAGGAGAGAUAAAGACUUGCCCACACAGACUAAAGCUGAGAGAGUUCAUUACCACUAGAUCUGCCUUCCAAGAGGUGCUUCCAAGCACAAUCUCAAAAGGAUGUUUUUGAUAAGUUGAUUUUAGAGCUCCAUUAGAAAAUACAUGAAAAUGUUAAAAGCAUAUAUAUCCUUAACCCAACAAUUCCACAAUAAGUACACACACACACUAUCACACACUUAUUCAUCAUAUAUACAUUGCACACAUAUGCAAAAACAUAUGUACACAUAUAUGUGCAAAGAUAUGUAUCUUUGCACUGCAACAUUGUGGUAAAAAUAGAGUGGAAGCAACCUUAAAAUUCAUUAGCAAGGAACUAGUUAGAUGACAUAUUUAUAUGUUAAAACUAUAUAGCCUAUUUAAAAAUAAAGUAGGCCUGUACAUCUUGAUUUAGAUUCUACAUCAUUGUAGAACAAUCUCCAAACUCUAUUGUUAAGUAAAAAGCAUGUUUCAGAAUGGUGUUUGAAGUCAGUUUCUAUUUGAUUUUUAAAAAGGGUGGGGGGACGGUAUGUGUACGUACAUGUACACUUGUAUAGUCACAGAACAUCUCUGGUAGGCUACAUGAGAUACAGGUAAGGGUGGUGACACUGAAGGACUAGGAGUCAGGAGUAAGAAAGAAACUCACUCCAUACUAUUUUUAUUUGACUUUACUAUAUGCACAUAUGGUCUUUAAAUCUUUCUUGCAUUUUUGAGUUCAUGUUUAUUGUUUUAUUCACUGUGUUAGCAGAAUUCUAGAUUUAAUCACUGCAUUUUGAAAAUUUUUUAAUUUCAUAUUAAUAAAUGAAAUAAAAUGAUACAAAUUCUCCUUCCCACCUGUGGCUCCCAUCCCUGUUCUCUCCCACCAGAGAU